GAUGAACGCUAGCGGCAGGCUUAAUACAUGCAAGUCGAGGGGCAGCAGGACUGUAGCCCUACAGUUGCUGGCGACCGGCAAACGGGUGCGGAACACGUACGCAACCUACCCAAAACUGGGGGAUAGCCCGGGGAAACCCGGAUUAAUACCUCGUAACCUUUUUAAGUGGCAUCACUUGAUAAGUAUAGCUCCGGCGGUUUUGGAUGGGCGUGCGCCUGAUUAGGUAGUUGGUGCGGGUAACGGCCCACCAAGCCUGCGAUCAGCAACUGGUGUGAGAGCACGACCAGUCACACGGGCACUGAGACACGGGCCCGACGCCUACGGGAGGCAGCAGUAAGGAAUAUUGGUCAAUGGACGCAAGUCUGAACCAGCCAGGCCGCGUGAAGGAUGAAGGUCCUCUGGAUUGUAAACUUCUUUUAUGGGGGACGAAACCCGGAUAUUCUUAUCCGAUUGACGGUACCUCAGGAAUAAGCACCGGCUAACUCCGU
This 488-nucleotide ribosomal RNA is filed under the name uncultured bacterium. RNAcentral describes it as "partial 16S ribosomal RNA". It matches the Rfam family "Bacterial small subunit ribosomal RNA", at positions 28 to 506 of the family's 1533-position model. The record is from RNAcentral.